Molecule: transfer RNA, 73 nt
Filed under: Bos taurus (domestic cattle)
Lineage: Eukaryota; Metazoa; Chordata; Mammalia; Artiodactyla; Bovidae
Also listed under: 5 other names
Rfam family: tRNA
About the family: Transfer RNA (tRNA) molecules are approximately 80 nucleotides in length. Their secondary structure includes four short double-helical elements and three loops (D, anti-codon, and T loops).
Source: Rfam by way of RNAcentral
CCCCUGGUGGUCCAGUGGCUAAGACUUCAUGCCUCCAAUGCAGGGGGCCCAGGUUCAAUUCCUGGCUGGGGAA